Felis catus (domestic cat) is the source of this 3158-nucleotide long non-coding RNA. RefSeq lists it as uncharacterized. The record is from RefSeq and is a predicted model, not a curated record. Lineage: Eukaryota; Metazoa; Chordata; Mammalia; Carnivora; Felidae. The transcript has 3 exons.
CACUGGAGAAGUUUAAGGAGUUAUUCCGGGAGGACUGAAGUUGGCGUGGCCUCUGCCGUGCACCCCAGGGCCAAGUCCUGGCAGUUUGACUUUUCCUGCCCCCUGCCCCGGGCCCCGUUCCUGAGGUCCCAGCUUACUGUUGGCCCGGCAUCACCCUCUGUGAGGGUGCCACCAGCCGCCAGCCCCUUCCGCAGACAGCAAAGCGGAACGGUCACACGCACACAAACGCAGAAGAAAAGAGCAUUCGGAGAGGGACGCGACAGCCCUGGGGGUGGACCCCUCUGAUGUCCCUGCAGAAACUCCACAGCCGAGGUCAGCUCUGUCCUGACUGCAAGCUGAGGCCGGUGAUGGGCGACAGCGGACGUACCAGGCUCAUUGUUUCUGGCCCCCACGGGACCCCUCUAAGGAUGACCCACGCUCCCGAUGAGUCCUCGGGGCUGAGAUGUCCUCAAGGCUGCCUGGCCCACCUGGUCCUCUCCUCCCUGGUCCUUCUUUCCUUCUCUUCCCGCAGGAGCCAGGCCUGCAUCACCGCCUGAAGGCCGUUCCCGCCUCCUGUCCCCUCCCCCUUUCACUUUCCACAGGUGUGAUGCCCAAUAAAUCUCUUGCAUGUCUGUGCUUCUGCUUCGCAGAGAACCCAAGAAUUGGGGUUAGGGACCAGAUCGCUCGCAGCCUGGUUGGCAAAGGGGAUCCCAUCCCACGAGGUACGUGGGCUGUGGAUAGCGCCUGGCACAAGACGGUGGCCCAGACUGAGGCGACAGUCUGAAUAGUUGACUCUUACUGUCUUGCGUUCAACACUGCAUUCGGCUUGAUAUGUUUGGCAGUCGUGUGAAUCCUGAGCCGGACCCUUGGAAUGCAGGAUGAUCCAGCUGACACAAUAAAGGAAGAAAAAAAAAAAUCAACCCAGCAAGAUCAAGAGGAAAAAGAAAGAGAUCUAAACACUUCUGACCAAAACGCGGCUUCGUCAGUGUCUUCAGUGAAUUAGAGAAAAUAUCACGCAUCCGUGCAACACGAAUAGGGCUCCGAGAGUAGAAGUCACAGCAAGGAAGGGCUGUGGGAUCAAAACUAGAGGAGGAACCUCAGGACAAGGCUUAGGAGUCAAAGAAAUCCCCUGGAAAAUAGUUGAGAAGACGGAGGAACAGACACUGUGAGGGAAGAGGCCCAGGGUCCGCGUAGGAGUCUCCUGUGUGACUAGGAGUGGCAGAAACUGCUGCUGGGGACAGCCCCUCCUGCACCGCGGGGACCCCGGCUGAGGCCAAGAAGUGAGAACGCGGCCAAUGGAGGGAAGCAGGAGAAGGGCAGAAAGAUACCCCUCAAUGAACUCGCAGGCUCUGAGCAGCGGCCGGGACGCUGGGAACCCGGGGGAAGGUUCCAAGUUCAGAGGGAAACAGUCUUCAGGCCAGAAUUCCUCUCCACUGCUGCUCAAGGACCAGAGAGUCACCAAGGCGCCCUCCUCCACCUAAGGCCUGCUUCCCCCCACCUCCCCACGAAGCCACUGGAGGACAAACCCCUGAGGAAGGAGAGGUCGAGAAGGAGGCAAGGAGGCAGGGCAGGUACUCAACCAGCAGGGUGGCCUCUGGGCCCAAGGUGGUGGCGGAAAGGCCCUGAGAGGAGGCCUCUGGAAAGGAGGUGAGGGCAGAGGAGGGAACAGGAGGGAUGUGGGGCGUCUCAGAGGCGUGGGGAACAGUAGUGGGGUGUGGUAAGGGCCCCGUGCACAGAGUGUCCUCUCAUGGGGAUUGUUGGCCUUCUAGAGGGAGAAGCGUGUAGUCAAAAGUAUUUACGUGGUGCACGGUGCACGUGUGUGUGUGUGUGUGUGUGUGUGUGUGUGUGUGUGUGUUUAACUUUCAGAUACUAUUUCGGGAUAAUUUACUCAACAUGAAAACGUGUAAAUGUUAUCAUUUUCUUUCAUCAUAUGCUGGGAGUGAUGGUGCCUCACAGAGAGUGGGGGUGGGGGGGGAAGACAGGUAGGUAGCACCACUCACAAAACGGGGUUCAGGAGUCACCCCCGGGGUCAAUGGCUGCGGGCAGCCCCUCAGUGUGUUGACCUGGGUCCUUCAAUUCUGAUGUUUCCCUGUGUUAUUUCUUUCCUCACUUCCCUUCUCCAUUUAAAGACUUCUAGGAUCGGGGCGCCUGAGUGGCUCAGUCGGUCAAGCGUCUGACUCCGGCUCAGGUCACGAUCUCAUGGUUCGUGAGUUUGAGCCCCGCGUCGGGCUCCGUGCUGAUAGGCAGAGCCUGCUUGGGACUCUCUCUCUCCCUCUUUGAGAUUUUAUGUAGACUCUCUGAAGGUUUAUUCUGCUCUCUUUUUUGUUUGCUUUAACUCAGAGUUCCCCUUUUUUCCUGUAUUGGUCGAUUUCUUUUGGUCUUUGACUUUUGUGUCAGGCACAUAUUUGGAGUUGGGGCCUCAGGGUGCCGACGGAAGGUUCUGUGAUGGGUGACCCGGAGGUCGGCUCGUUAGGGAGCCCCGCUGUCAGUCUCUGCAGAUGACAGUCCUGUGCCCCAAAUGACCUGGCCUCCCUGCUGGGCAAGGGGACAGAGUCCCCUUCCAAGGACAGCUCCCUCUUAUACUUUCCUGGGGCUGUUGUAACAAGUCAGCACAAACUUGGUGACUUAAAACAACAGAAACCUAUUUUUCUCACGGUUCUGGAGGCCAGAAGUUUGAGAUAAUGGUGUGCACAGGGCUGGGCUCCGGCCAGAGGCUCCGGUGGGGGGGUCCUUCCUUGCCUCUCGCCUCUUCCAGGGCUCCGGGUAUUCCUUGGUUCGUGGUUACACCAGUCCCUUCUCUGCCUCCAUUUCCUCCUCCUCUCCCCGUGUCUUCUGUCUUCGAUCCUUUGCGAGGGCGCUGUUCAUCGCCACCCACCAGGUCUCAUGUCAUAGUCCUUAACUUAGUCAUAUCUGCAAAGAUCUGUUUCCAAAUAGAGUCACAUUCCGAGGUUCUGGGGCUUAGGAGGUGGACAUAUCUUUUGGGGGGGUACCACCAUUCAACGCACUAUACUCUCCCAACUCCCUACACAUCUCCUUUUCCAACAGAAAUCCCUGUAGAGUGAGUUCUCUGCAGAGACUUGUGGGAAAAGGCGAGAGGAUUCAGGCCCCUCUGGGUCUGCAGGGAGCCAUCCUGCUCUGUGUCACUGAAUAGAAGGAUAAUAAAGUGUACGAAGGAGGGA